UGAGUACGAGGAGCUACGGCUCCGAAGUUGUUGAUGUCACGCUUCCAAGAAAAGCUCUAAACACGUUAAUUCAAAAUUGCCCGUACCCUAAACCGACACAGGUGGGAUGGUUGAGAAUACCAAAGGGCGCGAGAGAACUCUCUCUAAGGAACUCGGCAAAAUGGCCCCGUAACUUCGGGAGAAGGGGUGCCCACGCAAGUGGGUCGCAGUGAAGAGUCCCAGGCGACCGUUUACCAAAAACACAGGUCUCCGCUAAGUCGUAAGACGAUGUAUGGGGGCUGACGCCUGCCCAGUGCCGGAAGGUUAAGGAAGUUGGUCAGCGCAAGCGAAGCUGACGACCGAAGCCCCGGUGAACGGCGGCCGUAACUAUAACGGUCCUAAGGUAGCGAAAUUCCUUGUCAGGUAAGUUCUGACCCGCACGAAAGGCGUAACGAUCUGGGAGCUGUCUCGGAGAGAGGCUCGGCGAAAUAGGAUUGUCUGUGAAGAUACGGACUACCUGCACCUGGACAGAAAGACCCUAUGAAGCUUUACUGUAGCCUGGAAUUGGGUUCGGGCUUUGACUGCGCAGGAUAGGUGGGAGGCUUUGAAGUAGUCCUUGUGGGGAUUAUGGAGCCAUCGGUGUGAUACCACUCUGUCAGAGCUAGAAUUCUAACCUUCUGCCGUUAUCCGGCGAAGGAACAGUUUCAGGUGGGCAGUUUGACUGGGGCGGUCGCCUCCUAAACGAUAACGGAGGCGCGCAAAGGUUCUCUCAGGUUGGUCGGAAAUCAACCGUGGAGUGUAAAAGCAUAAGAGAGCUUGACUGCAAGACCUACAAGUCGAGCAGGGACGAAAGUCGGCUUUAGUGAUCCGGCGGCACUGAGUGGAAGGGCCGUCGCUCAACGGAUAAAAGUUACUCUAAGGAUAACAGGCUGAUCUCCCCCAAGAGUUCACAUCGACGGGGAGGUUUGGCACCUCGAUGUCGGCUCAUCGCAACCUGGGGCGGUAGUACGUCCCAAGGGUUGGGCUGUUCGCCCAUUAAAGCGGUACGUGAGCUGGGUUCAGAACGUCGUGAGACAGUUCGGUCCAUAUCCGGUGCAGGCGCAAGAGCAUUGAGAGGAUCCUUCCUUAGUACGAGAGGACCGGGAAGGACGCACCGCUGGUGUACCUGUUAUCGUGCCAACGGUAAACGCAGGGUAGCCAAGUGCGGAGUGGAUAACCGCUGAAAGCAUCUAAGUAGGAAGCCCACCUCAAGAUGAGUGCUCUCAUGGCAAAAGCCAGUAAGGUCACGGGUAGAACACCCGUUUAUAGGCGGCAGAUGGAAGCGUGGUAACAUGUUCAGUCGAGCCGUACUAAUAGACCGAGGGCUUGACCG
RNAcentral lists this ribosomal RNA (1351 nucleotides) under metagenome. Its description in RNAcentral is "bacterial LSU rRNA". It matches the Rfam family "Bacterial large subunit ribosomal RNA", at positions 1564 to 2925 of the family's 2925-position model. The record is from RNAcentral.